RNAcentral lists this ribosomal RNA (676 nucleotides) under uncultured Nitrososphaerota archaeon. RNAcentral's name for it is "bacterial SSU rRNA". It matches the Rfam family "Archaeal small subunit ribosomal RNA", at positions 69 to 748 of the family's 1478-position model. Lineage: Archaea; Thermoproteati; Nitrososphaerota. The record is from RNAcentral.
CAGCAAUGCGUGGCAUACGGCUCAGUAACACGUGGUCAACAUGCCCAGGGGACGUGGAUAACCUCGGGAAACUGAGGAUAAACCGCGAUAGGCCAAGGUUUCUGGAAUGGACACUGGCUGAAACCUAUAUGGCCCCUGGAUUGGACUGCGGCCGAUCAGGCUGUUGGUGAGGUAAUGGCCCACCAAACCUGUAACCGGUACGGGCUUUGAGAGAAGGAGCCCGGAGAUGGGCACUGAGACAAGGGCCCAGGCCCUAUGGGGCGCAGCAGGCGCGAAAAUUCUGCAAUAGGCGAAAGCUUGACAGAGUUACUCUGAGUGAUGCCCGCUAAGGGCAUCUUUUGGCACCUCUAAAAAUGGUGCAGAAUAAGGGGUGGGCAAGUCUGGUGUCAGCCGCCGCGGUAAUACCAGCACCCCGAGUGGUCGGGACGAUUAUUGGGCCUAAAGCAUCCGUAGCUUGUUCUGCAAGUCUUCCGUUAAAUCCACCUGCUCAACAGAUGGGCUGCGGGAGAUACUACAGGGCUAGGAGGCGGGAGAGGCAAGCGGUACUCAGUGGGUAGGGGUAAAAUCCUCUGAUCCACUGAAGACCACCAGUGGCGAAGGCGGCUUGCCAGAACGCGCUCGACGGUGAGGGAUGAAAGCUGGGGGAGCAAACCGGAUUAGAUACCCGGGUAGUCCC